GCAGGUGGUGCUUUAUAAACAACCUGAACUUAUAGAUAUGGUGCUGUAUGGUAUGCGGGUGGUCAUGUCUUAUGUUAGCAUGCAAGCUGUUUUGACUAAUGAGAAUGCUUUGAGUUCAGAAACUUAUGCUUACUAGGUUCAUUGAAUGGUUUUGUUUCAGAAGAUCAAGGAAAAUUCAGUUAUACAACCCACAGAGAUGAAAGUCUCUCUGUCUUUCCCUUUAGAAUUUCCUCAGCCAGUGAAGGGUGCCGCUACUGGAGGUAUUUUUGGUGGUAUUCUUUGUGUGAUCAUCCUGGUAGCCUUAAUUGCAACUAUAGUGAUGGUCCGCAACUGCAAGAGGAAAAACAAAGACGGUCCACCCACUCACAAACCUCCUCCUCCCAUGAAGUCAUAUUCCUAUUCAGACAGACCGAGCAUCGAUACACCUGUGUCUGAUUCUCAGUCCAUGCACCAUGAGACAGAGAAAGAGGAACCGAUGACAGAUCUCUCAGCAUACCAUGAUGACAAGGAUCAUCAUGAGCCUUCACGUUUCUCCUGGGAGGACAAACAGUCUCCUUACCAGGAUGACAGAGACGAAGACAGAAUGAUGGGAGAGGAAGACGGCUAUUACAUCACUUCCUCAGCCAGCAGAGGGAGCAGCUUCAUGUCACCAGCUGUGAUAGUGUAGGGAUCAAACUGAGCCGUAGAUUUUUAUACUGUAACCUGAACACUAUUGUACUGUUUUAUAUUGAAUAUGAAAUAUGGGUCUGAUUGCAAAGGCUUUGCUUUACCCAAAAACUGUGAGGGACCUGUUCUACAGCGCCCAUUUUAUAAUGACCUCAGUAAUAUCUUUGCACACAUAUAUGUAGUUGUGCAUACACACGUUUAUUCAUAUUUCUGUAUCGGAUUUAGGAUUAUAUUUUAGUUUGUGCCAUUUUUUAAGGGUGUGUGUAAUUUAACAUAGCCCUAAGGACAUAAUGAGCCAGUGGCAUACAUGAUUGAAGCAUUGUUUUUGUCAUUAUUAUUAGUGAUGUAAUCCAUAGCUGCAGUGUGAAAUUUCCUUCUUUUUGUUCUUAAAAUCUUUAUUUAAUUUCGUAUUGAAUUCUUAUUUUAGUAAAUUGCACUAGAUUGCACAAGAUCAUUUGCACCCUCUUAACUUUUAUUUUUAUGUAAUAGCAUAGAAUUAUUUUUCUUUUAGAGAAUAAUCUUUGUGACAUUAUUUUUCAGUGUACUUCCAUGAUUGUUUAGGCUUAAUAAACAGUGAAGUGGUGUCUGGUUAUUAUAUGUAUGUAUCAGUGUAUUAUAUUGUAAACAUUUAUGAACUGAUGAUUGUCUUUGAUAAUGGUCAUUUUUACAUUUUGCGUACAAUGGAACCAAGGAAAUCUGAAGUUCACAA
This is a long non-coding RNA of Sinocyclocheilus anshuiensis, 1375 nucleotides long. The record is from Ensembl. Lineage: Eukaryota; Metazoa; Chordata; Actinopteri; Cypriniformes; Cyprinidae.